Molecule: ribosomal RNA, 235 nt
Filed under: uncultured bacterium
Lineage: Bacteria
Description: partial 16S ribosomal RNA
Rfam family: Bacterial small subunit ribosomal RNA
Source: RNAcentral
CGAACGGGUGAGUAACACGUGAGGAACCUGCCCCGAAGACCGGGAUAACAGCGGGAAACCGCUGCUAAUACCGGAUGUCCCCACCGGACCGCAUGAUCUGGUGAGGAAAUGGAUUCCGCUUCGGGAGGGUCUCGCGGCCUAUCAGCUUGUUGGUGGGGUAACGGCCUACCAAGGCGACGAUCGGUAGCUGGUCUGAGAGGGCGACCGGCCACACUGGGACUGAGACACGGCCCAG